GAUGAACGUUGGCGGCGUGCCUAAUACAUGCAAGUCGAACGAAGACUGUAGUAAUACUGUCUUAGUGGCGAACGGGUGAGUAACGCGUGGGUGACCUGCCCCGAAGUGUGGGAUAACAGUUCGAAAGAACUGCUAAUACCGCAUAACAUCCAAGAGAUUAGAAGCUUUUGGAUUAAAGGAGUAAUUCGCUUCGGGAGGGGCCCGCGUCCCAUCAGCUAGUUGGUAAGGUAAUGGCUUACCAAGGCGAUGACGGGUAGGGGACCUGAGAGGGUGGCCCCCACAAUGGAACUGAAACACGGUCCAUACACCUACGGGUGGCAGCAGUAGGGAAUAUUAGUAAUGGGCGAAAGCCUGAACUAGCAACGCCGCGUGUGCGAAGAAGGCCUUCGGGUUGUAAAGCACUUUUUGAGAGGAUGAGGAAGGACGGGUACUCUCAGAAUAAGUCUCGGCUAACUACGUG
This 460-nucleotide ribosomal RNA is filed under the name uncultured bacterium. Its description in RNAcentral is "bacterial SSU rRNA". It matches the Rfam family "Bacterial small subunit ribosomal RNA", at positions 28 to 507 of the family's 1533-position model. The record is from RNAcentral.